AAGACUAUACUUUCAGCGAUUAUUUCUAUAGUAUGUGACUAGAGAAGUUUCUCUGAUCGUGUAGAGCACCUGAAACAACGAGGAAGAGCCAGAGCAUCCUCUCCUGAGCGUGAAGCCGGCUCUAGGUGUUGCUUCUGCGACUGUGGUUUUUGAUGAUUGUUCUCCCCUUCCUUUGGAAGGGGUAGAGGGAGAGGAUGCAGUCUGAGUGGU
This is a small nucleolar RNA of Suncus etruscus (white-toothed pygmy shrew), 210 nucleotides long. RefSeq annotates it as small nucleolar RNA U3. The record is from RefSeq and is a predicted model, not a curated record. Lineage: Eukaryota; Metazoa; Chordata; Mammalia; Eulipotyphla; Soricidae. The transcript has a single exon.